This 1138-nucleotide long non-coding RNA is filed under the name Canis lupus familiaris (dog). RNAcentral's name for it is "lncRNA (ENSCAFG00030009430.1)". The record is from RNAcentral. Lineage: Eukaryota; Metazoa; Chordata; Mammalia; Carnivora; Canidae.
AUGUGGAGAGAGGCUGCGAGCCCUGCUGCAGAGCCUCCGGCUGGGAUAGCCGCCCCCCGUGGGGGCGAUGCGGACAGCGCGGGACAGCCAGGGGAGCGCGCGGGGGCCGCAGCAUGCGGGAACCCGCUAAACCCGGUGGCUGCUGAGGCGGCCGAGAUGCUCGUGCGCGCAGCGCGCCCCACUGCAUCCUCGACCUUCUCCGGCUACAGGUACGUCCCAGCGGGAGACCUGGGCUGGGCCGGCCGGGGAAGAGGAAGACUCGACCCGAGGAGAGAGAGCGGGAGGAUCAGGAGAGCGAGGGAGAGGAGAGCGGGAGAGGGAGCAUCUGCGGCAAGGCGCGGGAGGAGCACCAGGGGGCGCUGCGGCUCCGCGCUCCGCGGCGCUCGCCCCGAAGAGCGCGUCGGCCAGAACGACUUCUCCCCAACUUCCCCUGGCUCCGGCGGGCGCGGGGCCCGAGGGGCGCGCGCCUGUGCACGCGUGCACGACCGUGCUGGUAUUUGCAGGCACGCGCAGUUGUGCACCUGGCGCGAUACAUGUGUGUGCACCGGCCGAGGACGUGUGCGGACUCCGGAUGGCCGUGGGCACCGCCACGGCGGCCUGCGGCUGUGCGCAGCAAUGCGCGCGUGCCUGAGAGGCUGUGCAGCCCACUGCCCACGUGCCCCUAACACUUGGUAACAGGAUCUGGGCUGCAAAGCCUGGGGAGGGGCUGUAGGGUUCACGUCGGUUGGAGAGCGGCUUAGGAGCCCACCUUUCCCCCCACGCACGUUCCCAGCCGGCUCCCACGCGCCGGCCCACGGCUGGGGGGGGGCGGACGCGCCUCCUCUCCUCUCCGGGAUUCUGCAUUGCACGCGGCAAGCGUGAGAGAGGGCGUGUGUGUGUAUGUGUGUGUGUGCACAUGCACGCGUGUAGGGGGCGGGCCCUGGAGCCCGCCUUCAGUUGAGUGGAAGUCGCCUCGGGAUCCCUCCAAGGGAGGUGGCGCGGGCCCGAAAUUCCCCCCAGGCACCCCGGACCCCGGGGCGCACAAGCGAGUGUCCUCGCUGCCUUGCGCUUGGGAGGGGGUGCCCCGCGGAGGCAGGCCUGUGCUGCGCCCCGCGGGCUCGCAGGGGGCGGGGUCAGCCAACUAGCCCGGCGCGGGAGC